Molecule: ribosomal RNA, 425 nt
Filed under: uncultured bacterium
Lineage: Bacteria
Description: partial 16S ribosomal RNA
Rfam family: Bacterial small subunit ribosomal RNA
Source: RNAcentral
GUAGGGAAUAUUGGACAAUGGGCGCAAGCCUGAUCCAGCCAUGCCGCGUGAGUGAUGAAGGCCUUCGGGUUGUAAAGCUCUUUAGCCGAUGAUUAUAAUGACUGUAGUCGGAAAAUAAGCCCCGGCUAACUUCGUGCCAGCAGCCGCGGUAAUACGAAGGGGGCGAGCGUUAUUCGGAAUCACUGGGCGUAAAGCGUGCGUAGGCGGUUUUGUAAGUUAGGAGUGAAAGCCCAGGGCUCAACCCUGGAAUUGCUCUUAAAACUACAAGGCUAGAAUGUCGGAGAGGAUAGCGGAAUUUCCAGUGUAGCAGUGAAAUGCGUAGAUAUUGGAAGGAACACCAGUGGCGUAAGCGGCUAUCUGGACGACUAUUGACGCUGAGGCACGAAAGCGUGGGGAUCAAACAGGAUUAGAAACCCUGGUAGUCC